RNAcentral lists this ribosomal RNA (295 nucleotides) under Pseudopolydora vexillosa. RNAcentral describes it as "partial 16S ribosomal RNA". Lineage: Eukaryota; Metazoa; Annelida; Polychaeta; Spionida; Spionidae. The record is from RNAcentral.
GCCUUAUUGUCAAUAUGGUCUCUCAAAUAAGAUUAGCCUGUUAUCCCUAAGGUAGCUUUUUCUAUUAAUCAAAAAAUUUGGAUCUAAGAGAAGAUGAAGUUUUCUCUAGUUGCCCCAACUAAGUCUUUGAUCUAGGUUGGUUAAAUCGUAGACAGAGCUCUAUAGGGUCUUUUCGUCUAUUUAUUUAAUCCAAAUCUCUUCAUUUGGAGGCCAAUUUUUAUAAGUUAAUGUGAGACAGUUAAGCUUACGUAUAUUCAUUCAUUCCAGCCAUCAAUUAAACGGCAAAUGAUUAUGC